Long non-coding RNA from Bombina bombina (fire-bellied toad), 457 nucleotides. RefSeq lists it as uncharacterized. Lineage: Eukaryota; Metazoa; Chordata; Amphibia; Anura; Bombinatoridae. The transcript is spliced from 4 exons. The record is from RefSeq and is a predicted model, not a curated record.
GGGAACAAUUUGAAGCCUGACAGUGAAGAUUUCCAAGACUGACAGUGGGGAAAAAGCCAAGAUUGAAAUUGAAGUAUACCAAUGGGAUCAUGUCUGGCAUUAUAUUUCAAUUCUGCUGACCUUGAAAACCAUACAAAUACAUGUUCACAUGAUGGUAUUUCCCAGUCCUCUAUUUAAUGAACUGAUGAAUAAUACACCUAUUGAAGAUCAACUGUUUACCCCUGAAUUGACUUUCAAAGACCAUGCAUUGUCCAGAUGGUAUUUCCCAGUCCUCUAUUUAAUGAACUGAUGAAUAAGACACCUAUUGAAGAUCAACUGUUUACCCCUGAAUUGACUUUCAAAGACCAUGCAUUGUCCAGAUGGUAUUUCCCAGUCCUCUAUUUAAUGAACUGAUGAAUAAGACACCUAUUGAAGAUCAACUGUUUACCCCUGAAUUGACUUUCAAAGACCAUGCAUU